Molecule: non-coding RNA, 134 nt
Organism: Exophiala bonariae
Lineage: Eukaryota; Fungi; Ascomycota; Eurotiomycetes; Chaetothyriales; Herpotrichiellaceae
Source: the annotation of a RefSeq genome assembly
GGGGUCGUGGUUUAGUGGUAUAAUGCGUUCGUCUCAACCCAACCAUAUCAGCAUCAACAAUAACUAACAAUCUCCCAGAUCCUUAGCACUCAGCAGUUUGGAUGAGGUCCGGGGUUCGAUUCCCCGCGACUCCA